GCCUAAUACAUGCAAGUCGAGCGAACAGACGAGGAGCUUGCUCCUCUGACGUUAGCGGCGGACGGGUGAGUAACACGUGGAUAACCUACCUAUAAGACUGGGAUAACUUCGGGAAACCGGAGCUAAUACCGGAUAAUAUAUUGAACCGCAUGGUUCAAUAGUGAAAGACGGUUUUGCUGUCACUUAUAGAUGGAUCCGCGCCGCAUUAGCUAGUUGGUAAGGUAACGGCUUACCAAGGCAACGAUGCGUAGCCGACCUGAGAGGGUGAUCGGCCACACUGGAACUGAGACACGGUCCAGACUCCUACGGGAGGCAGCAGUAGGGAAUCUUCCGCAAUGGGCGAAAGCCUGACGGAGCAACGCCGCGUGAGUGAUGAAGGUCUUCGGAUCGUAAAACUCUGUUAUUAGGGAAGAACAAAUGUGUAAGUAACUAUGCACGUCUUGACGGUACCUAAUCAGAAAGCCACGGCUAACUACGUGCCAGCAGCCGCGGUAAUACGUAGGUGGCAAGCGUUAUCCGGAAUUAUUGGGCGUAAAGCGCGCGUAGGCGGUUUUUUAAGUCUGAUGUGAAAGCCCACGGCUCAACCGUGGAGGGUCAUUGGAAACUGGAAAACUUGAGUGCAGAAGAGGAAAGUGGAAUUCCAUGUGUAGCGGUGAAAUGCGCAGAGAUAUGGAGGAACACCAGUGGCGAAGGCGACUUUCUGGUC
This 706-nucleotide ribosomal RNA is filed under the name uncultured Staphylococcus sp. RNAcentral's name for it is "bacterial SSU rRNA". It matches the Rfam family "Bacterial small subunit ribosomal RNA", at positions 46 to 734 of the family's 1533-position model. Lineage: Bacteria; Bacillati; Bacillota; Bacilli; Caryophanales; Staphylococcaceae. The record is from RNAcentral.